ACACACACACACACACACACAAAACACGCUGUUAUAUGGCAUUGUAUGGAAACUUCCGGGAGUCCUAGCUCCCAAAAACGCUUGCAUACCCCCCUUUUUUUAAAUCUUAUUUUAAUCUAGGGCCCGAGAUUGACCUAUAACCAAAAUUUCAGGAAAAUCGUAAGAAACGUUUAGUAGUUACGAAAUCGUCCUUUUUCAUAGGAACUAACUAACUAACUAACUAACUAACGUAGGCGAUUUCAGUUAUCUGAAAA
Bradysia coprophila is the source of this 254-nucleotide long non-coding RNA. Lineage: Eukaryota; Metazoa; Arthropoda; Insecta; Diptera; Sciaridae. The record is from RefSeq and is a predicted model, not a curated record.